ACACGUAGGGGCCUGACGUUGUUCGGAAUCAUUGGGCGUAAAGGGCGCGCAGGCGGCCGUCCAAGUCCGGUGUUAAAUGGUCGGGCUCAACCCGAUCAUGCGCUGGAAACUGGGCGGCUUGAGUCCCGUAGGGGAUGCCGGAAUUCCAGGUGUAGGGGUGAAAUCUGUAGAUAUCUGGAAGAACACCGAGGGCGAAGGCAGGCAUCUGGCCGGAGACUGACGCUGAGGCGCGAAGGCGCGGGGAGCGAACAGGUUUAGAUACCCUGGUAGUCCGCGCAGUAAACGAUGCGCACCAGGUGUCGGGCGGCAGCGCCCGGUACCGGAGCUAACGCGAUGAGUGCGCCGCCUGGGGAGUAUGCCCGCAAGGGUGAAACUCAAAGGAAUUGACGGGG
This 392-nucleotide ribosomal RNA is filed under the name uncultured bacterium. RNAcentral's name for it is "partial 16S ribosomal RNA". It matches the Rfam family "Bacterial small subunit ribosomal RNA", at positions 523 to 918 of the family's 1533-position model. The record is from RNAcentral.